Molecule: long non-coding RNA, 694 nt
Organism: Mytilus californianus (California mussel)
Lineage: Eukaryota; Metazoa; Mollusca; Bivalvia; Mytilida; Mytilidae
Exons: 3
Source: RefSeq, a predicted model, not a curated record
AAGUAACUCUUUAAGGAGAGGCAAACAGUACUGAUGAUCAAUGACAACACGUUACAGGUAAGUAACUCUUUAAGGAGAGGCAAACAGUACUGAUGAUCAAUGACAACAUGUUACAGGUAAGUAACUCUUUAAGGAGAGGCAAACAGUACUGAUGAUCAAUGACAACACGUUACAGGUAAGUAACUCUUUAAGGAGAGGCAAACAGUACUGAUGAUCAAUGACAACACGUUACAGGUAAGUAACUCUUUAAGGAGUGGCAAACAGUACUGAUGAUCAAUGACAACACGUUACAGGUAAGUAACUCUUUAAGGAGUGGCAAACAGUACUGAUGAUCAAUGACAACACGUUACAGGUAAGUAACUCUUUAAGGAGAGGCAAACAGUACUGAUGAUCAAUGACAACAUGUUACAGGUAAGUAACUCUUUAAGGAGUGGCAAACAGUACUGAUGAUCAAUGACAACAUGUUACAGGUAAGUAACUCUUUAAGGAGUGGCAAACAGUACUGAUGAUCAAUGACAACACGUUACAGGUAAGUAACUCUUGGAGAACAGGAUUCAGAAAAUUAAACAAUAUUUCUCAUUUUGAGUAGUUUUUAUACCUUUUUUCAAAAGCUUGUGUGCAUCAGCUGUGUAUAACCUGAUUUUACACCAGAUGAAAAGACUUAGAAUAUGAAAGUCAUAUGAAAAAUUGCUGA